AGCCCACUGAGCAUGGCGCAGCUGGUAUAGCGCGCAGGGCCCAUAACCCUGAGGUCCCUCGAUCGAAACGAGGUGCUGCUA
This 81-nucleotide transfer RNA is filed under the name Stereum hirsutum FP-91666 SS1. RNAcentral describes it as "tRNA-iMet (CAT) (tRNA-iMet-CAT-2-1)". Lineage: Eukaryota; Fungi; Basidiomycota; Agaricomycetes; Russulales; Stereaceae. The record is from RNAcentral.